This 254-nucleotide ribosomal RNA is filed under the name uncultured bacterium. Its description in RNAcentral is "partial 16S ribosomal RNA". It matches the Rfam family "Bacterial small subunit ribosomal RNA", at positions 524 to 776 of the family's 1533-position model. The record is from RNAcentral.
UACGGGGGGAGCAAGCGUUGUUCGGAUUUACUGGGCGUAAAGGGCGCGUAGGCGGCCAGCACACGUCAGUUGUGAAAUCUCCGAGCUUAACUCGGAAAGGUCAACUGAUACUGUGCGGCUAGAGUGCAGAAGGGGCAACUGGAAUUCUCGGUGUAGCGGUGAAAUGCGUAGAUAUCGAGAGGAACACCUGCGGCGAAGGCGGGUUGCUGGGCUGACACUGACGCUGAGGCGCGAAAGCUAGGGGAGCGAACGGG